AAGGAAUUGACGGGGGCUCACACAAGCGGUGGAGGAUGUGGCUUAAUUCGAGGCUACGCGAAGAACCUUAUCCUAGUCUUGACAUGCACGGAUCAACCCGGUGAAAGCCGGGCCACGCCUUCGGGUGGAACGUGCACAGGUGCUGCAUGGCUGUCGUCAGCUCGUGUCGUGAGAUGUCGGGUUAAGUCCCUUAACGAGCGAAACCCUUGUCGCUAGUUGCCAGCGAGUCAUGUCGGGGACUCUAGCGAGACCGCCGGCGUUAAGCCGGAGGAAGGUGGGGAUGACGUCAAGUCCUCAUGGCCUUUAUGACUAGGGCUGCACACGUCCUACAAUGCUGCGCACAAUGGGAUGCAAAAUCGCGAGAUCGAGCAAAUCCCGAAAAACGCUGCUCAGUUCGGAUUGCAGGCUGCAACUCGCCUGCAUGAAGCUGGAAUCGCUAGUAAUCGUGGGUCAGCACACCACGGUGAAUAUGUUCUUGAGCCUUGCACACACCGCCCGUC
This 500-nucleotide ribosomal RNA is filed under the name uncultured bacterium. Its description in RNAcentral is "bacterial SSU rRNA". It matches the Rfam family "Bacterial small subunit ribosomal RNA", at positions 903 to 1398 of the family's 1533-position model. The record is from RNAcentral.